CAACAGAGUGGGACUCUGUCUCAAAAAGAAACCCCUAAAAAACAAAAAACAAAAGAAAAAACCCAGCUGCUCCCUUCUUCCAUAAACUCCAGAGCCCAACAAGAUCUGUUCUGCUCCAGGAAGUCAGGGCAACCCCUGGGACAUGCCAACACCUGCUGAGCAUGAAACUCUGCUCCAGAGAGUUAGCUCAGCGGGAAAGGCAGACCAACAAGGCAGCUGAGGCCCAGCGAGAGAAGAAGUGAACAGAGGGAGGCAUGAGGAGUGUCCUCUCCCUCGUCUAAGGCAUCUGGAAGAAGGCGCUGGAAUAUCUGAAAUGGGCUACCUAACAACACAGUGUACUUCCCGUUCAAAGUGGUUCAAGGUGGACUGAAGAGACCUGGAGUGGGUGAGGAGUCAAAGUGAGUGGGUAAGGCAUCUGGGACACGUGACGCUUGCCACACCUAGUGGAUGGCUCUGCUUGGACGACUGCCAGGCCCUUCGAACGGAAUUGGCCAAGCCUGUGCGUCUCCCAGUCUGCCCUGUUUCAAACAAAAGCCCCAUGAGAUCCAGGAUGUCACCUGUCUGUGCACAGCUACCUCCCCAGGGCCUGGGUUAGAGUGAACACUGAAUAAAGAUUAUUACAGUUGGGGGAAUGAAUGGGGGACACACCGAGGCUCAGUGGCAAAGCUGGGCUCUGCACCCAGGUGUGUGACACCCCUAAGUCUGUCUCCUUCCCUCGGCUGCACAAAGGAGCAAGGGCCCUGAGGUUCCUUCUGAGAUACUCAUCCUAAGGGUCAACCUACCUCUUCUCAACAGCCACUCACGCACAGUGUCAGUGACAUCAAAAGACAGCCACUCAGCAGUGCCCCGCGUGGGCAGAUUCUUGCCACCAAUAUAGCGCUGUUUGGCGAUGUGCUCAUCCGGCCGCAGUAUCUACGGGCAGAGAAAGGAUUUGGUACCCAAGGGCAAGACAGAGCACCACCAGACGUGGCACAGUGCGGGCCAGGUGGGGGCAGCCAGAGGAACUACAGGUUCCUGCACCGUAACUCUCAGUCCUCUUAGCAACAGAUACGGAAACUGAGGCUCAGAGAAGCCGGGAUUCAAGCCCCGGUCUGUGGGCCUCUGUGCCCAGCGCAGGCCGGACACAGCAAGGGAACUGGCUUCUCACCUGGAAGAGCUCGAUCCUCUGCUCGUUGCGCUUGGAGCUGGGGUUGGGCACCCGCAGGACCCGGAAUUCUGCUCGGAACAGGUUGGUUCCAUUUUUCUCCACUGAGGACACGUUGAAGCGGAAGACCUUGGAGGUAAUUCCUUUGGGGCAGACGGCCAGCUCAUCUAGGAGAGAGAGCGUGGGGAGGGCACAGCAUGAGUGUGGCCACAGGAACGGUGCGCUGCCGCCGACACGCACCAAGUCGCCUGCCUGGAGGCUUGAGCCCUCAAACUUAAAGGUGGAGAUAGGAGGGAGCUUCUUGGGGACCCUAGAGUCACACAGGGUCCUGAGCAAGGAGCAGUGGGAGCUCAGAGCCCCAGGACGUGGCCCGAGAGACUGGCCCGUCAAAUGUAACUGUCCUCUCCUCCCCUUGCCUCUCCAGCCUGUUUACUCUUAGAAAACACAGAUUCUCAGAAGAUGCGAGCAAUGCCCCUAGUAGUUGACAUGUCGUAUGGCUAGUUAAUCCAUUCGUGUGUGUGCUCAUUCGGACACUCGUUCACUUGCCAAGCGUGUACUGAGCAAACACUAUGUGCCAAGCACAGCGAUGACCCUGGGGGCAGACAGUGAGUAGACACAGCCUCUGCGUCGAGGGGACUCAUUUCCAGGGAAGUUGUUGAUACAUGGACCCAACUGACAGGGCCAGAGAGACAGGGUCUUUGCAGAAGGCCAGGAGUUGCUAUAGGAAAUCGACGGAGGGGGAGAGCAGGGAGUGCUUCACGGAAGAGGCGAUAACCGAUCUGGGCCCUGCAGGAGGAGGGUUUGAGGGGGAGGAGGAAAGAACUUGCACACGGUGGGGCUGCCGGAAGCAAAGGCAGGGAGGGGAGAUGUGCUCUGAGGCUGCAAGGCUGGGCUCCCCUGUAUGGAGGCCCACACGUCAGACCAAAAGGUUGGAUUUUACCCUGUUGCUGGGCAUGGUGGCUGAAUGCCUCUAGUCCCAGCUACUCAGGAGGCUGAGGCAGGAGGAUGGCUUGAGGCUA
Molecule: long non-coding RNA, 2163 nt
Organism: Lemur catta (Ring-tailed lemur)
Lineage: Eukaryota; Metazoa; Chordata; Mammalia; Primates; Lemuridae
Exons: 3
Source: RefSeq, a predicted model, not a curated record